Molecule: long non-coding RNA, 1558 nt
Organism: Artibeus jamaicensis (Jamaican fruit-eating bat)
Lineage: Eukaryota; Metazoa; Chordata; Mammalia; Chiroptera; Phyllostomidae
Exons: 6
Source: RefSeq, a predicted model, not a curated record
GAGGUGCGUCGCGAGGUGUUUUAGAGAGCUGUGUGGCCGCAGACCCGAAUGGUGUCUGCGGCUUCAGCAGUGGCGUCCGGGAAAGUCUGUUAAGUGUUGAGGAAAAGUCGGGGUGAGUUCAGGACACCGGCGCAGUUUUAAGUUGAAUUUUGGGUCCACAACGAUUUACACAGGAAAUGUUUGCAUAUUCAAUGGUGGCCCUUCCAGUACACCUGCCUGAGGAACCAACGAGUAAACGGAGGGAGGAGGAAUUUGGAGACGCACCAGAUAAGGCUUACCGGGGAGGGAGACCUUCCUUUCUGGGGACGGUAGCGAACAGGUGGAGCCCUAGAGGUUGGGAGGUGUUAGCACCAUCCGGUGCGUGGCGAGGCCGAUGUGAUACCCGUGGUCUUCAGUCUGGCUGGAGGGGUUCGCCACUGGCCACCAUUUAAGUGUGAAAAUGGAUCUGGAGUAGCAAGACUGGAGCCCUGUUAGGAGGCCAUUAUAAUCUAGAGAGGAAGAGAGAGAAAACUUUGAAGUGAGAGAGAAACAUCAGUUGAGCCCCUCCUGUAUCCCCUGACUGGGGUGGAGCCCACAGCCUGGGUGUGUCCCCUGACCCGGGUUUGGACCCGCAACCCUCUGGUGCACAGGACGGCGCUCCGACCAACCGAGCCACCUGGCCAGGGCAAGUCACAGCAUGAAUGGGCACAUCAAGAUGGCACAGACUAUGAUGGCAGCCUGGUGUUUACCCCCUCGACAAGCUUGUGUUCUACCAGCUUCCACCAGGGCCGGGGCACCUGUGAGGAUCCGUGCCUCCUCACAGAAGCCCACGUGAGGAAAGGAGCUGAUCACGCAGGAACUGGCACGGGCAGAACGGCAGAGCCACCCCCCACCUUCGGGCUCACCGUGAUGCCAGCAGUCUUUGGACAACGCGGAGUCAGCCCAACAAGGCCACCUGCUUUUAGCCAUUCUGGCCUUGGCCGCGGGACCAAGUUGGAGGGGGCUGGGCUGGAUUCAUGCCUGGCCUUCUGUGGCCAUCUCUGCUUCUGCCUGAGGCUCUGUCGACAGCUGCACCUGGAUGGAGGGAGCUGGUGGUAGCCCGCGCUGCCCUGCUUGGGGGGGGGGGCACCGACCACUGAUUGGCAGCUGUGCCUCCAUGUGGGAUGCUGAGGGUCUGGAAAGUCAGCCUCGUGAGGUGAGUGGAGUGUAAAGUGGGGUGAGAACCACUGCUGCUCCGGAACCUGCAUUUUCCGAGGAGGCUGAGGUCUGCAAAGUCUGCAACUGCAACUGGUCUCAUGUGGGCACCGUCUUGUUUCCACAGCUGGGACUCUGCUGAGCCUCCCACAGGCUCUCUCUGUGCAUGUUCCCACCCCCCAGUGAAGAAUUCAGCUGUAGGAAUGUUGCAGCCCAUGGCUUCCCACGGUGGUGCAGGGAGAAGCACCAGGACAGUGUGGCUACUGUAGUGUCCUCCCCACUGGUCAGGCUACAUCACCUCUGUCCUGCACUCUGAGGAGCAGCGAUACUCAGAGCACAGAAGGUAAUGAAAACAGACCGCUUCUCGUGGGAUAGCUUGCCGUGA